Molecule: ribosomal RNA, 561 nt
Filed under: fungal sp.
Lineage: Eukaryota; Fungi
Description: eukaryotic LSU rRNA
Rfam family: 5.8S ribosomal RNA (bases 197-350)
Source: RNAcentral
GGAAGGAUCAUUACCGAGUUUUGGGGGGCUCUGCCCUCCUCUCUCACACCCUAUGUGUACCUACCUCUGUUGCUUUGGCGGGCCGCGGUCUCAUCCGCGGCCGGGCCCCCUAACCGGGGCUGGCCAGCGCCCGCCAGAGGACCAUCAAACUCCAGUCAGUAAACGUAGCUGUCUGAUAAAUUUUUUAAUAAACUAAAACUUUCAACAACGGAUCUCUUGGUUCUGGCAUCGAUGAAGAACGCAGCGAAAUGCGAUAAGUAAUGUGAAUUGCAGAAUUCAGUGAAUCAUCGAAUCUUUGAACGCACAUUGCGCCCCUUGGUAUUCCGAGGGGCAUGCCUGUUCGAGCGUCAUUUCACCACUCAAGCUCUGCUUGGUAUUGGGCUCCGUCCUCUCCCGGACGCGCCUCAAAGACCUCGGCGGUGGCGUCUUGCCUCAAGCGUAGUAGAAAACACCUCGCUUUGGAGGACGGGACGUUCGCCCGCCGGACGAACCUUCUGAAAUUUUUCCUAAGGUUGACCUCGGAUCAGGUAGGGAUACCCGCUGAACUUAAGCAUAUCAAUA